RNAcentral lists this ribosomal RNA (1500 nucleotides) under metagenome. RNAcentral's name for it is "bacterial SSU rRNA". It matches the Rfam family "Bacterial small subunit ribosomal RNA". The record is from RNAcentral.
AGAGUUUGAUCAUGGCUCAGAUUGAACGCUGGCGGCAGGCCUAACACAUGCAAGUCGAACGGUAACAGGAAGCAGCUUGCUGCUUCGCUGACGAGUGGCGGACGGGUGAGUAAUGUCUGGGAAGCUGCCUGAUGGAGGGGGAUAACUACUGGAAACGGUAGCUAAUACCGCAUAAUGUCGCAAGACCAAAGAGGGGGACCUUCGGGCCUCUUGCCAUCGGAUGUGCCCAGAUGGGAUUAGCUUGUUGGUGGGGUAACGGCUCACCAAGGCGACGAUCCCUAGCUGGUCUGAGAGGAUGACCAGCCACACUGGAACUGAGACACGGUCCAGACUCCUACGGGAGGCAGCAGUGGGGAAUAUUGCACAAUGGGCGCAAGCCUGAUGCAGCCAUGCCGCGUGUAUGAAGAAGGCCUUCGGGUUGUAAAGUACUUUCAGCGGGGAGGAAGGGAGUAAAGUUAAUACCUUUGCUCAUUGACGUUACCCGCAGAAGAAGCACCGGCUAACUCCGUGCCAGCAGCCGCGGUAAUACGGAGGGUGCAAGCGUUAAUCGGAAUUACUGGGCGUAAAGCGCACGCAGGCGGUUUGUUAAGUCAGAUGUGAAAUCCCCGGGCUCAACCUGGGAACUGCAUCUGAUACUGGCAAGCAUGAGUCUCGUAGAGGGGGGUAGAAUUCCAGGUGUAGCGGUGAAAUGCGUAGAGAUCUGGAGGAAUACCGGUGGCGAAGGCGGCCCCCUGGACGAAGACUGACGCUCAGGUGCGAAAGCGUGGGGAGCAAACAGGAUUAGAUACCCUGGUAGUCCACGCCGUAAACGAUGUCGACUUGGAGGUUGUGCCCUUGAGGCGUGGCUUCCGGAGCUAACGCGUUAAGUCGACCGCCUGGGGAGUACGGCCGCAAGGUUAAAACUCAAAUGAAUUGACGGGGGCCCGCACAAGCGGUGGAGCAUGUGGUUUAAUUCGAUGCAACGCGAAGAACCUUACCUGGUCUUGACAUCCACGGAAGUUUUCAGAGAUGAGAAUGUGCCUUCGGGAACCGUGAGACAGGUGCUGCAAGGCUGUCGUCAGCUCGUGUUGUGAAAUGUUGGGUUAAGUCCCGCAACGAGCGCAACCCUUAUCCUUUGUUGCCAGCGGUCCGGCCGGGAACUCAAAGGAGACUGCCAGUGAUAAACUGGAGGAAGGUGGGGAUGACGUCAAGUCAUCAUGGCCCUUACGACCAGGGCUACACACGUGCUACAAUGGCGCAUACAAAGAGAAGCGACCUCGCGAGAGCAAGCGGACCUCAUAAAGUGCGUCGUAGUCCGGAUUGGAGUCUGCAACUCGACUCCAUGAAGUCGGAAUCGCUAGUAACCGUGGAUCAGAAUGCCACGGUGAAUACGUUCCCGGGCCUUGUACACACCGCCCGUCACACCAUGGGAGUGGGUUGCAAAAGAAGUAGGUAGCUUAACCUUCGGGAGGGCGCUUACCACUUUGUGAUUCAUGACUGGGGUGAAGUCGGAACAAGGUA